GUGAAGCUACAGCUUGCUGUAGUGGAAAGUGGCGAAAGGGUGAGUAACACGUGAAUAAUCUGCCCUCAAGUCGGGGAUAGCCUUUGGAAACGAAGAUUAAUACCGGAUGUGGUUACAAGAUCGCAUGGUUUUGUAACUAAAAUUUUUUGCUUGAGGAUGAGUUCGCGGCCCAUUAGCUUGUUGGUAAGGUAACGGCUUACCAAGGCUAUGACGGGUAGGUGGUCUGAGAGGAUGGUCACCCACACUGGGACUGAGACACUGCCCAGACUCCUACGGGAGGCUGCAGUCGAGAAUCUUCCGCAAUGGGCGAAAGCCUGACGGAGCAAUGCCGCGUGAACGAUGAAGGCCUUCGGGUUGUAAAGUUCUGUCACCUGGGGCGAAAUUUGACGGUACCAGGAGAGGAAGUGACGGCUAAUUACGUGCCAGCAGCCGCGGUAAUACGUAAGUCACGAGCGUUAAUCGGAUUUAUUGGGCGUAAAGGGUCCGCAGGGGGUUUGCUAAGUCUGAUGUGAAAGCCAACGGCUCAACCGUUGAACUACAUUGGAAACUGGUGAACUGGAGUAUCGGAGAGGAGAGUGGAAUUCCUGGUGUAGCGGUGGAAUGCUUAGAUAUCAGGAGGAACAUCAAUGGCGAAGGCAGCUUUCUGGACGAUUACUGACCCUCAUGGACGAAAGCGUGGGUAGCAAACAGGAUUAGAUACCCUGGUAGUCCACGCCGUAAACGGUCUACACUAGAUGUGGGGGGGAUUUGACCCCCUCCGCGUCCAAGCUAACGCGUUAAGUGUAGCGCCUGGGGAGUACGGUCGCAAGAUUAAAACUCAAAGGAAUUGACGGGGGCCCGCACAAGCGGUGGAGCAUGUGGCUUAAUUCGAGGCAACGCGAA
RNAcentral lists this ribosomal RNA (882 nucleotides) under uncultured Lentisphaerota bacterium. RNAcentral's name for it is "bacterial SSU rRNA". It matches the Rfam family "Bacterial small subunit ribosomal RNA", at positions 68 to 965 of the family's 1533-position model. The record is from RNAcentral. Lineage: Bacteria; Pseudomonadati; Lentisphaerota.